Molecule: ribosomal RNA, 1202 nt
Filed under: Mimosestes janzeni
Lineage: Eukaryota; Metazoa; Arthropoda; Insecta; Coleoptera; Chrysomelidae
Description: partial 16S ribosomal RNA
Source: RNAcentral
UCACGCCGGUUUAAACUCAGAUCAUGUAAAAUUUUAAAGGUCGAACAGACCUAAUAUUCUCAGCUGCUACACCAAAAAUUAAUUUUAAUCCAACAUCGAGGUCGCAAACUUCUUUUUCGAUUAGAACUCUCAAAAAAUAUUACGCUGUUAUCCCUAAGGUAAUUUUUUCUUUUAAUCAUAAAAUAUGGAUCAAAUAAUCAUAUAUUAAUGGUUUUUAACAAAAAAAGUUAAAUUAAUUUUUCAAUCACCCCAAUCAAAUAUAAUUUAAAAUUAAAAAUUUAUAUACCAAUAAAUAUUAAUAUUAAUAUCUAUAUAAAACUCUAUAGGGUCUUCUCGUCUUUUAAAAUAAUUUUAGCUUUUUAACUAAAUAAUAAAUUUUUAAUUUAAUUUAAAUAGAGACAGUCAUUUUCUCAUAAAACCAUUCAUACCAGCUUCUAAUUAAGAAACUAAUGAUUAUGCUACCUUAGCACGGUCAAAAUACCGCGGCCAUUCAACUACUCAGCGAGCAGGCUAGACCUAAAAUUAAAUUCAAUAGGACAUGUUUUUAAUAAACAGGUGAAAAAUUAAUUUGCCGAAUUCCUUUACUUAACCUAAAAUCAUUAAAUUAAUUUUACAUUAAAAUUAUACUAAUUCUAUCAUUAUUCCUUAAUAUAAAAAAUUAAAAUUAAAAUUUUAAUAAAAAACUUAUAGAAAAUAAAAAUUAAAUUUUUAUAAAAAUAAAUUAUAACACUUUUUUAAUAAUAAACACUUCUAAUCCUAUAACUUAUUACAAUCCUCGCCUCUAAUAAUUCUUUAUUUUUAAGCUUAUCCCUAAAAAUAUUAAAUAUUAAUAUUAAAUAAAAUUAAAAAAUUAAAUUUUUAAUAAAUAAUAUUCAAAAUUAAAUUUUUUUCUUAAAAAACUAGAUAUAUUUAAAAACGAUUAACAUUUCAUUACAAAAAACUUAUUAAUAAUAUUUUUUAAACAAUAAAAAAAAUAAGUUCUUAACUCUUUUAAAUUCGAGAUAAUAAAAUACUUUAAAUUAUUUAAUAAACCCUGAUACACAAGGUACAAAAAAUUAAAUCUUCUUAUAAACAACUAAACAAAUUCUUUCACAAUACUUAUAAACUAUCAUUAAAAAUAUUUUUUCUAUAUAAAUAAUAAAAAUAAGCUAUUUAUAAUAAAAUAAAACAAAAUAAAUAUUAAUAUUAAUAAUUUUUUAAUU